AGCAGCCGCGGUAACUCCAGCUCCAAUAGCGUAUAUUAAAGUUGUUGCAGUUAAAAAGCUCGUAGUUGAACUUCAGGCCUGUCCAGACGGUCCGCCUUAAUUGGUGUGUACUGUCCUUGGGUGGGUCCUACCUUCUGGCGAAGCGGCAUGGCCUUAAUUGGUUGUGUCGGGGAACCAGGACUUUUACUGUGAAGAAAUUAGAGUGUUCAAAGCAGGCAAAUAUGCUCGAAUACAUUAGCAUGGAAUAAUGGAAUAGGACGAUGGUUCUAUUUUGUUGGUUCUAGGACCGUUGUAAUGAUUAAUAGGGAUAGUUGGGGGCAUUAGUAUUCAAUUGUCAGAGGUGAAAUUCUUGGAUUUAUUGAAGACUAACUACUGCGAAAGCAUUUGCCAAGGAUGUUUUCAUUAAUCAAGAACGAAAGUUAGGGGAUCGAAGACGAUCAGGUACCGUCGUAGUCUUAACCAUAAACUAUGCCGACUAGGAAUCGGGCGAUGUUGAAAAAAUGACUCGCUCGGCACCUC
This 519-nucleotide ribosomal RNA is filed under the name uncultured Paraglomus. RNAcentral's name for it is "bacterial SSU rRNA". It matches the Rfam family "Eukaryotic small subunit ribosomal RNA", at positions 569 to 1089 of the family's 1831-position model. The record is from RNAcentral. Lineage: Eukaryota; Fungi; Glomeromycota; Glomeromycetes; Paraglomerales; Paraglomeraceae.